RNAcentral lists this ribosomal RNA (468 nucleotides) under uncultured bacterium. Its description in RNAcentral is "partial 16S ribosomal RNA". It matches the Rfam family "Bacterial small subunit ribosomal RNA", at positions 28 to 507 of the family's 1533-position model. The record is from RNAcentral.
GACGAACGCUGGCGGCGUGCUUAACACAUGCAAGUCGAACGGAAAGGCCCUGCUUUUGUGGGGUGCUCGAGUGGCGAACGGGUGAGUAACACGUGAGUAACCUGCCCUUGACUUUGGGAUAACUUCAGGAAACUGGGGCUAAUACCGGAUAGGAGCUCCUGCUGCAUGGUGGGGGUUGGAAAGUUUCGGCUGUUGGGGAUGGACUCGCGGCUUAUCAGCUUGUUGGUGGGGUAGUGGCUUACCAAGGCUUUGACGGGUAGCCGGCCUGAGAGGGUGACCGGCAACAUUGGGACUGAGAUACGGACCAGACUGCUACGGGAGGCAGCAGGGGGGAAUAUUGCACAAUGGGCGGAAGCCUGAUGCAGCAACGCCGCGUGCGGGAUGACGGCCUUCGGGUUGUAAACCGCUUUCGCCUGUGACGAAGCGUGAGUGACGGUAAUGGGUAAAGAAGCACCGGCUAACUACGUG